UCUAAUAUGGCAGAAAUAGUGCAAUAGAUUUAAGACCUAUAAAUAAAGAAUUUAACUUUUAUUAGAA
This 67-nucleotide transfer RNA is filed under the name Phryganistria guangxiensis. RNAcentral's name for it is "tRNA-Leu". It matches the Rfam family "tRNA". From Rfam's summary of the family: Transfer RNA (tRNA) molecules are approximately 80 nucleotides in length. Their secondary structure includes four short double-helical elements and three loops (D, anti-codon, and T loops). Lineage: Eukaryota; Metazoa; Arthropoda; Insecta; Phasmatodea; Phasmatidae. The record is from RNAcentral.